CAAAUUAAAGCUUGUUUAGAUAAGUAUUUUAUUUACAUUAAAAAGGUGUUGUGCAAAUCAAUAUAAUUUGA
This 71-nucleotide transfer RNA is filed under the name Platychile pallida. Its description in RNAcentral is "tRNA-Val". The record is from RNAcentral. Lineage: Eukaryota; Metazoa; Arthropoda; Insecta; Coleoptera; Carabidae.